Molecule: ribosomal RNA, 109 nt
Filed under: Aquirufa nivalisilvae
Lineage: Bacteria; Pseudomonadati; Bacteroidota; Cytophagia; Cytophagales; Flectobacillaceae
Also listed under: 1 other name
Description: Cytophagaceae bacterium 59G-WUEMPEL partial 16S ribosomal RNA
Rfam family: Bacterial small subunit ribosomal RNA
Source: RNAcentral
CCUGAAGCUGGCCGUUAAACCGCCAGUUAGGGUAGAACAGGUAAUUGGGGCUAAGUCGUAACAAGGUAGCCGUACCGGAAGGUGUGGCUGGAACACCUCCUUUCUGGAG